RNAcentral lists this long non-coding RNA (2871 nucleotides) under Equus asinus (donkey). Its description in RNAcentral is "lncRNA (ENSEASG00005023770.1)". Lineage: Eukaryota; Metazoa; Chordata; Mammalia; Perissodactyla; Equidae. The record is from RNAcentral.
UGGAAACACUGUCAGGACAGGUUUUGAUUGGUGGGCUUCAAGCAUUUAUGGUACAAUUCUAAAUAUUUGUGACAGGGUUCUAAACAUUUAUGAUGAAGUGGGGAAGGAAUUUUAACACUGGAACUUCCUGAAUGGCAGACCCCUGGCUUCUGAUAAGAGUCUGACUUUUAAGUUGCAGUCAUGUCCUGGUCCUUUGGUUCUUGGGGGAGGAGAAUCUUUGGUUCCGCAGUCAUUUCACGUCAAGAUUUCUUCUUCUGCACAAUGCUCUGGCUCCGUGACUUCGCACAUUUUCUGAAAGGCAUCAGGAUGAGGAGGAGCUGGCAGACGAAAAAGAGGGGAAGAACAUGUGAAAAUACUUGGAGGAAGGAGAAAGAGCAUGGCAUGUGCUAGGAUUAACACUACAGACAAUUCAGAUCCUGGGCUCCUGGGAAUCCUAUUAAAACACACCAGAGUAAGUCAUUAACGAUCUGCCUGCAGAAAAGCGAAGCUGUGCCUCUCCUGUCUGGGACCCUCUUUUGUGAUAGAGCCUUGUCCAAUGGUGUGGAAUGAUGUGCCAAAACUUGGAAGAAAAUUGAGUUCUCCCACAGGAACUCUGGGCUGAUGGGGCAGUUCACGGUCCUGAAUGAUGUCUCCACAGUGGGGAACAGCUGGGACACUGUCUCUUCCCAACACUUCCACUGGGCUGCAGGAUGGGGGAUCAUGAUUAAACCUGGAUCAGUGGAAGAUGGUGGCAGUCCUUACGUGGCUACUCAGCACCUGAUCUGUAGAGAUAAUCAAGAUAAGUGACUUUAGGCAAGAUACAUGAGGUGGGGAGGUGAAGAAAUGACGCUCCUGCCUCUGCAGCUAUGAAGGAAGGCCAGGUAUAUCUGUCAUGGUCGUCAGCCACCUCCUGCGGAGGGAGUUCAGAGGACAAGGGAGGAACCUAAGCCUGCACGUCAGUUUUUCAUGUUAGCUGGCAGCGUUCCUGAGCAGGACUGGGAUCACACGCCAGUGCAAGCGGAGCACCUGGCUGAGAACACUGUGCAGUGGUGACAGAAGGGAAGUAUUUGGGAAAAUGAGUUGCAGACUUCAAGGAGACAUACCCUAUACCUGAGCCAUGAACAAGGCUUCUGGCCCCAGAGGCCUUCAACCCAGCAAGGGAGGUCUGGAGGGAGCUCUCCAUUUGAAUCUGGCACAGUGACACAGUGAUCCCUUCACCUCCCUCAAUGGGAACAUUAGAGUGGAUAGUCUCUUCUGGUCCUCUCUCUGGUUAUCAGGCAUAAAGGGUGGGGGGGUCGUGAUUGGCUCUGGAUGUGCCCAGAGGUCUCUUGGCUGUCCUCAGAGCUCUGCCAGGUGUGCCUUAAGUUAAAGAGAGCACAGAACGUGAACUCAUGGGGUGGGGCCACCUGGGGCCUCCUGGAUCAGCCCUUGCCGAUGCUGCAGAAUGAGGUGACUCAGCUCUGAGACCUGCUGAGUCAGAGAUGACUAUCUUUGCAGGUCCCUGUAACAAGUGCAGCAAGAGACACAAAGAGACUGAAUUCUGUUUCUAUUGAUCCCUCCUCCACUCCCCCAUCCUUUCUCUUUCCCCUCCAGCUACCUCCCAAAUCGCGCUUUCUCAGACCCUGCCUCCCCUCUACAGAGAUGCCCACUGGCUCGACUGUGUUCUGGAGUUGUGCAUAUGCCAGCCCUCUGCGUGGUCCAGUGCCGAUCUAGACAAGCGUCCGCACAUGGUUGUGUAUAGUGUUCACCCUGGUGUGCGUGUGAAUACGUGUGUGGGUGUGAUCUAGAUAUAUAGGUAUCGAGGACCUAAACGAAAAUCGGAAAGCCAAACCUAAAGGAAACGUGCUGGUUUGCUGAACUAACGCAAAUGUGAACAUUAAUCUUUUCUUGAACCAAAGAGUAGAAGAAAAUGGCUUGGUUCAAUUUAAGCAUGGCGUGCUAAGCGGUGCAUAGGUCUGCACCUGAGAUCCGAACUGGGGAGCCCAGUCCACUGAAGCAGAGUGCAUGAACUUAUCGUUGAGCCACCAGUGUGAACCUGGAAAGUAGAGUAAAGAAGGAGGUCAGAAGGAUAUUCUCAUGUGGGCUGAAGGCUGGAUCAAACACAUCCAGAAGAUUCUCGUAGCUUUGUCCGUGUUCUUCAUGUGUUCCUGCCCAUCCAAUCGAAGUCCUUUGGCUCAGGGUUACCCGCGGUCAACAGCAGUCCGUGGUCCAGGUGAUCCUCCUCCUGAAGUAUCCUCAGAAGUAUCCUAAUGCUAUGUCCCAAUGCCAGCAUCAUUCGCCUCACUUCAUCUCGUCACAUAAGCCUUGUGUCAUCUCACAUCCUCACAAGAAGGACACUGCUCUGUCGGAAAUCAGGACGUCCUCAGCUGAUAAAGGGGAUCAGAAUAUGCCACUCCAAAAUAUGCUACUUUGGCUUAAGGAUUAUUUUGAGCUGAAGGCAAUUAAGAAAUAGCAGACACAGAAGACUCUCCAUCCUCAUCCUUCCUGCCUAAAAGCAGGGCUCACAUUUCCCUUUGUAAAAGUGGCAUAAAUUUCCGUUUGUAAAGGUGUCUGUCUCUCCAGCACCAGGAAGAGACCACUUUUAAUCACCGGAGAUGACUCUUAUCACUGAGACAGCACAGACUUGAGUCUGCAGAACAAACUUGACACAACAACUUUCAUCUACCAUACCUUUUCUACUCACCUUAGAAUUUACUGCCUCUAGAAGCCCAAACAACCCCCCCCCCUUUCCUUUGUUUAAUCACUUCUCCACAGUUUAUCUCCGGUUGUUAAAAAGGUACAUAUGCCCUUGGGUUGACCUCCUCUUUGGGUUUUCACUUUUUCUGUGAAGCUUUCAUGUGCAGGCAAAAUAAAACUUUCUCCUGUUAAUCUGUCUUUUGUCGGUUUAAUUCA